GGGGUUGUGACUCAGAGGUAGAGCGCUUGCCUCGCACGUGCAAGGACCUGGGUUUAAUCCUCAGCACCACA
Molecule: transfer RNA, 71 nt
Filed under: Marmota monax (woodchuck)
Lineage: Eukaryota; Metazoa; Chordata; Mammalia; Rodentia; Sciuridae
Description: tRNA.Ala
Source: RNAcentral